Molecule: long non-coding RNA, 513 nt
Organism: Contarinia nasturtii (swede midge)
Lineage: Eukaryota; Metazoa; Arthropoda; Insecta; Diptera; Cecidomyiidae
Exons: 3
Source: RefSeq, a predicted model, not a curated record
AGCGCCGUGAAAUUUGAUUACUGGCUCAAACCUUUUCAAACUAUUCUAGUGAAAAACAAGUUAGAGAAAAAAUCUAUUAAAAAAUGUUCAAUAAAAAUUCCAUUUUGGUCGUUUUACUUUUGGUUCAGUUGGUGUCCAUCACAUUCAGUGCUGCAGCACCAGAAGGUCAAGAAGGUCAGGGCCAAGGAGGACAAUCAGGCGGACCCCAAGGAGGACCACCAGGAGGACAAUCAGGAUUAGGUAAACCACCUGGAUCAUCUGGACAAAAUUCAGAUGGAAAAAAUAAUCCAAAGAUUCCCGGAAAUUAAUAAUGAUCCCCAGGAGGUAAUUCAAAGUUAUCAACUAGGACAAUAAUCCACUAAACAAUGAAAAUAUUCUUAAAAUUAUUUGGCCGAUGAACAUCCUUAAAUGAACCUAUUAUUGGUUUAUUUAAGUCUUUUUUGAAAAAUGCACUGUAAAAAUAGUUAAUCUACACAGUAUGAAAAUUAAAAUAAAAAGCAAAUAGAAAAUUCA